AGUGAACGCUGGCGGUAGGCCUAACACAUGCAAGUCGAACGGCAGCACAGAGGAGCUUGCUCCUUGGGUGGCGAGUGGCGGACGGGUGAGGAACACAUCGGAAUCUACUCUGUCGUGGGGGAUAACGUAGGGAAACUUACGCUAAUACCGCAUACGACCUACGGGUGAAAGCAGGGGACCUUCGGGCCUUGCGCGAUUGAAUGAGCCGAUGUCGGAUUAGCUAGUUGGCGGGGUAAAGGCCCACCAAGGCGACGAUCCGUAGCUGGUCUGAGAGGAUGAUCAGCCACACUGGAACUGAGACACGGUCCAGACUCCUACGGGAGGCAGCAGUGGGGAAUAUUGGACAAUGGGCGCAAGCCUGAUCCAGCCAUACCGCGUGGGUGAAGAAGGCCUUCGGGUUGUAAAGCCCUUUUGUUGGGAAAGAGAUCCAGCUGGCUGAUACCCGGUUGGGAUGACGGUACCCAAAGAAUAAGCACCGGCUAACUUCGUGCCAGCCGCCGCCGUAA
This 506-nucleotide ribosomal RNA is filed under the name uncultured bacterium. RNAcentral's name for it is "partial 16S ribosomal RNA". It matches the Rfam family "Bacterial small subunit ribosomal RNA", at positions 29 to 523 of the family's 1533-position model. The record is from RNAcentral.